This 477-nucleotide ribosomal RNA is filed under the name uncultured bacterium. Its description in RNAcentral is "bacterial SSU rRNA". It matches the Rfam family "Bacterial small subunit ribosomal RNA", at positions 498 to 975 of the family's 1533-position model. The record is from RNAcentral.
UAACUACGUGCCAGCAGCCGCGGUAAUACGUAGGGUGCGAGCGUUAAUCGGAAUUACUGGGCGUAAAGCGUGCGCAGGCGGUGAUGUAAGACCGAUGUGAAAUCCCCGGGCUUAACCUGGGAACUGCAUUGGUGACUGCAUCGCUGGAGUAUGGCAGAGGGGGGUAGAAUUCCACGUGUAGCAGUGAAAUGCGUAGAGAUGUGGAGGAAUACCGAUGGCGAAGGCAGCCCCCUGGGCCAAUACUGACGCUCAUGCACGAAAGCGUGGGGAGCAAACAGGAUUAGAUACCCUGGUAGUCCACGCCCUAAACGAUGUCAACUGGUUGUCGGGCCUUCAUUGGCUUGGUAACGUAGCUAACGCGUGAAGUUGACCGCCUGGGGAGUACGGUCGCAAGAUUAAAACUCAAAGGAAUUGACGGGGACCCGCACAAGCGGUGGAUGAUGUGGAUUAAUUCGAUGCAACGCGCAAAACCUUACA